RNAcentral lists this ribosomal RNA (252 nucleotides) under uncultured bacterium. Its description in RNAcentral is "partial 16S ribosomal RNA". It matches the Rfam family "Bacterial small subunit ribosomal RNA", at positions 524 to 776 of the family's 1533-position model. The record is from RNAcentral.
UACGUAGGGGCUAGCGUUGUCCGGAAUCAUUGGGCGUAAAGCGCGUGUAGGCGGUCCGGUAAGUCCGCUGUGAAAGUCGGGGGCUCAACCCUCGGAUGCCGGUGGAUACUGUCGGGCUUGAGUACGGAAGAGGCGAGUGGAAUUCCUGGUGUAGCGGUGAAAUGCGCAGAUAUCAGGAGGAACACCAAUUGCGAAGGCAGCUCGCUGGGACGUUACUGACGCUGAGACGCGAAAGCGUGGGGAGCAAACAGG